RNAcentral lists this ribosomal RNA (253 nucleotides) under uncultured bacterium. RNAcentral describes it as "partial 16S ribosomal RNA". It matches the Rfam family "Bacterial small subunit ribosomal RNA", at positions 524 to 776 of the family's 1533-position model. The record is from RNAcentral.
CACGUAGGGCGCAAGCGUUGUCCGGAAUUAUUGGGCGUAAAGAGCUCGUAGGCGGUCUGUCGCGUCUGCUGUGAAAACUCGGGGCUUAACCCCGGGCCUGCAGUGGGUACGGGCAGACUAGAGUGCGGUAGGGGAGACUGGAAUUCCUGGUGUAGCGGUGAAAUGCGCAGAUAUCUGGAGGAACACCGGUGGCGAAGGCGGCAUUCUGGACCGACAUUGACGCUGAGGAGCGAAAGCCAGGGGAGCAAACGGG